GCUCGUUGUUUUACCGUUGGCGGCUAAUAGACGCUCGACGUCGUCGCUUAAUGUAUAUAUAUAGACGUCCGAAAAUAGACCCCUAAAACGGCUGAAACUUUAGGGAAAUCAAACGGCCACUCGGCUUGAAUCGAUUACUUUUUAUAGGAAGAAAAUGCUGUUCCUGUUUGUCACCGGUUUUUUAUUCGGGAAAAGGAUAAAAGAAGUAAAUUUGUUAAUCGACCGACCAGCAGGUGGCGCUUAUAGUUGUCCCGUUUCAGACUUUACUUGGCGAGCAAUGAAGAGGUGUACGUUAUUGUCCGUCGUGUUUGACAGAUAGCUUCAACUAGUCAAUGUAGUUAUUGGCAUCUAAGAAGGAUUUAAGGAUACUGUUACUGGAAUAUUUGCGAAGUAGUACUUGAGAUAAAGAAGUUGUGAAUAGGAGGAGAAAUUGGAAAGAGGAUGAGCAAAAUUACAUCAACUACCAUCAUUUUUAUCCUAAUUAUACUACCCAGCGGCUUUACACUGGCUGGGCGUAGGACUAAUAGCCGUCGAAAAAAUUUUAAUCCACAAAAAAAGAAAACGGAUUAUAGUAAAGCUGUAACGGUUGGUGCGAUUUUACCAAAGUCUUAUGCUUUAGGACGCAAAUAUACAACAAUGGCUAAGCAACUGGAACCAUUCAAUAAAAAUUUCUCAGAAAAUCUUAAUUCGUUUUUGCAUUUUGAAUUCAAAAUGUUGGAAUCAACUUUUAAACCGUCGGAUUUAUGGAGAGCCAUGUGUGACGAUGGGUUGUUCAAGACUAGAUUCAAUUCGUUAAUCUAUGUUCAAACUGCCUUCACUUCUAAAGCGGAGAUUCUACAGCCGUCUUCCGAGCACCUGAUGAGCGUGGCCCAAUUCUAUCAGAUACCAGUGAUCGUGUGGGAUUCCCCAGGGAUUAUCCAGGUUCGUCCUUCCAAAACUCCCUGCCGUCCCAACCCGUUUUAAACGCGUUUAUAAUUAAACGCUUACCGAUUUCACCCUCAUUUUAUUCCUUUUCCAAACUGGUCCCGGCAGACGAAUAGGGAACGCCUUCUAAUCCAAUUAACGCCGUCCAUAGCCCACCAGGGCGAAGCCAUGCUGAGCCUUUUGAGAAGAUACGGAUGGAAUCGUUUCGCAAUCGUUACAGGACGACUUUCGGGUCACGACACAUUUGUCAACACCAUCCGGGAUCUAGUUGAUAAUUCCGGCGAAUUGUGAGUAUAAAAUUAGUAUUUACAUAGAGAACAUACUGCUUAUCAAGCAGGCAUCUAAAAUCAAAUAAAGAAAAACUAGACGAAAUGUCCGCUUCAGUACAUAGUGUAAUUUGGCCAGACGGAACGUCUAAUUAGGACGUCAUCGAAGGUCACGCGAGCAUCUUCAGUUAGGAGGUGAAAGCAUUUUUCGGUCGAAAGUCGAACAAAUAAGAAAAAAGGCCAAUAAGUGAUCGAAAAAUAGACUAAAGAACCUUUUAAUAGCGAAUAUAAUAUAAAGUGAGGGGCCGAUGAGGGGGAACUCGUUAUCGAAUUGCUGGAGUCUAUUAAUUUUAUAAAGGUUUUGCUUAGGAGUCAGUUUCGUUGGAAAUAUUUUACGCUUCGAAUUUUUUCUAUACCUACUUUUGCGUCGUUGAUAAAAGACUUUUUUUUUUUUGACGCCUCUCUUUUCUCUAUUCUAUAUAUUUCGCAACAAAAUGAUUCCGAUUGGUGGUUAAGGUGCGAUCAAGCGUUAAAAAAGAGCGUUAGGACGUAAAGUAUUUCCAGUUUUUCCUCUUCUCUUCCAUCGCACUGGACGCCUAAUAAAUAAUCUAAAGAAUAAAUUAAAUUUGCACCAUUUUGCCUAUAGAUUGACAGUAUGUUAAAUUUAGUAAAGAAAACAGGAAAUAUAGGACUAAAUUUUCUUAAACAUCAAGGGAAGGAAAAGGUCGUGUGACCUAGAGUAAGUGAGCCUGUACGUGUGACGCAUUAAACAAUAUAAAGAGAAUUUUAACAAUUGAGUAACUUCUAAUUUAUUAUUAUUCACCUAAAAGUAAACCUUAUAUUAAAUUGAGUGCAGUUUCGAUAUUACGACGACUGUUCAUCUACCAUCUAUGGAAAAUGAAACUGUUACGUCAGAGCUACAAAAACUUCAGGCAGCUGAGAGUCGUGUAAUGUUAUUGUAUUCGUCAAAAGAGGAGGCAACACAGAUAUUUAAAGUUGCCGAACGUAUGAAAUUAUCUGGCAAAAAUUACGUUUGGAUAACUACUAAGUGCGCCAUUCUUAAAAGUACUCUUGGUGCCGAAUUGGAUGAAGAUCGAGGAAGGUUCCCUUUAGGAAUGUUCGCCCUUUAUUACUCGCAUGAUUACGAUGAACAAGUGAAAGUAAUCGAGAAGGCUUUGGUCAUUUGGGCACAGGCCAUGACGAAUCUUAAGAAGGAAGCAGAAAAUAAGAGAAUCCUUCUGCGACCAUCUUAUCAUUGUAAUCCCCAGAACGAUUCUGUAUGGAAAUACGGCAGCAUCGUUUACGAUCAACUAUUAAAGGCAAAAGUUAAACUGAAUUCCGGUGAGGAAACUAUAGAAUUUAAGAAGGAUGGAACACUGAAGAGUGUAUCUCUCAAGGUGCUCAACUUGAGACCCAAAAAUGAAAGAAGUGACGAAUGGGCGACAGUUGGGGAAUGGAAAUCUGGUAAGGAAGUUGAAAUGUACGAUAUAACUUGGCCGGGUAAUGCUCCAGCACCUCCUAUCGGUAGACCAGAAAAAUACCAAGUUAAGGUUGUCACAUUAAAAGAGGAUCCAUAUGUUAUAUAUAGCGAUCCCGAUCCCAAUACUGGUACAUGCCCACCUAUGGCCGUUUUAUGUCGUAUAGCAGCUAAAAAUUUAACUACGCUCGUGGCUAACGCUACUUCCGACCCGUCGCUGUACCAAUGCUGCUCCGGAUUAUGUAUAGACUUACUUAAGAUGCUGGCAGAGAAAAUUGGAUUUGACUUUGAACUAUUCGAAGUAAGCGAUAAAAUUUGGGGAGCCUACAACGCUGAUACGAAGGAAUGGAACGGCUUAAUUAAGGAUAUAUUAGACGGGAAAGCCGAUAUGGUGAUGACGUCGUUAAAGAUAACACCAGAAAGAUCAGCAGCUAUAGAUUUUAGUGUUCCCUUCCUAGAGACUGGGAUUACGAUUAUUGUUGCCGUCAGGGACGGAGUUAUCUCUCCAACAGCCUUCUUAGAGCCGUAUGAUUAUCCUUCCUGGUGCUUAAUUCUUGUAUUUAGUGUCCAUGCUUCUGGCGCCUCUAUUUUCCUAUUUGAAUGGUUAUCUCCAAGCGGCUUAGAUAGGGGGCAAAAGCCGUUGAAAGAACAUAGAUUUUCCCUCUUCCGGAGCUUCUGGCUAAUAUGGUCGAUGUUGUUCGGUGCUGCUGUUUCCGUUGACAACCCCAGAGGGGUGUCCAGUAGGUUUUUGGGGAAUAUUUGGGCCCUGUUCGCCGUCGUUUUUACAGCGAGUUAUACAGCUAAUUUAGCCGCGUUCAUGAUUACUAAAGAGGACUAUGACAGACUGAGUGGAAUACAGGAUUGGAGGUUACGGAACCCCAAAGCUCAUAAGCCUGCUUUUAAAUUCGCUACAGUGCCACAUGGAAGUACAGAAACUAAUUUAAAGAAUAAUUACCCUCAAAUGUACGAUUAUAUGAUGCCGUUCAAUAAAUCGACAGUUGAAGAAGGUGUUAAGGCUGUUAAAGAUGGUGAUAUUAAUGCAUUUAUAUACGAUGCCACUGUUCUUGAGUAUUUGGCCGGUCAAGAUGACGGCUGUAAGUUGAGGACUGUUGGCACUUGGUAUGCUAUGACGGGAUAUGGAAUAGGUUUUCCCAAAGGCAGUAAAUGGAAAAAAGUCAUCGAUAAAUACCUAUUACAAUUUCAGCAUGAAGCUAGGGAAAUGGAAAGGCUUCAAAAGUUUUGGUUAUCUGGAGCUUGUUCAACAAAGAAGGAUGAGGGAGAAAGUUCAAUGCCCCUAGGUAUAUUAAAUUUUACCUCUGCAUUUAUCCUUUUGGCUGGUGGUAUGCUAUUGGGCGCGGUUCUGCUUAUAUUAGAGCAUGUUUACUUUAAGUUCUUCCGAGUUCGACUUCGUAAAUGGGACAAAUGUGGUUGUUGUGGCCUGGUUAGCUUAUCCAUGGGAAAGUCAUUAACGUUCGAGCAGUCUGUAAAAGAAGCGAUCAAUCUCCAAAGGAAUUACAAAUGUAAGAACGCUCUAUGUGAGACGCAUCUUUGGAGAACUAAACACGAACUCGAUCUGGCUUUACUACACGUCGACAGAUUAGAAGCUCAAUUAAGUUCACUCGGAAUAGAACCAGAAAGAGUAUCAAAACUACCAUGUAACGGACUGGAGAGCAUAGAAGAUGAGCGGAAGAGACAGAGAAGAUUAAGGGCUAGGUCGCGAUCUUUACCAAGUUCACCAGCCAGAGGAGUUCGCGAUUCAUCUACACCGUCCAGGUUGAAAAGCAAUCGAGCCUGCUAUAUUCACCUCGAUGAUAAUUUCCUGACCAGCAUCGAGAAAGAGACGGUUUUAUGACGACCUUUUUAGGCGAUUAAUGCUCAACGAGGGAACAAACAAAGUGCACUACGUUAUGUUGCAUUUCUGACGAGUGUAGCAACCAGAAUGGUGUAUUGUAACAAUAAAAAUAACCGCACGAUUUUAUGCUGUAAAAAUAAGAAAAUAUACGUUUACAGUUAUAUUCUGUAUACAUUCAUAUUUAUAUAUUAAUAUUAAUAUUAUCUUUGAAUAAAAGGUAAAGAUGUUUUAAAUUA
This 4755-nucleotide unclassified non-coding RNA is filed under the name Dimorphilus gyrociliatus. RNAcentral's name for it is "dgyrCDS1752". Lineage: Eukaryota; Metazoa; Annelida; Polychaeta; Dinophilidae. The record is from RNAcentral.